CAUGCAUGUCUAAGUACAAGCCUCAGUAAGGUGAAACCGCGAAUGGCUCAUUAAAUCACACCUAAUCUACUGGAAAGUUACUAGUUACUUGGAUAACUGAGGUAAUUCUUGAGCUAAUACAUGCGAAAAAUCUCGACUCACGGAGAGAUGCUUUUAUUAGAUCAAAACCAAACGGCUUCGGCCGUCUCAUUGGUGACUCUGAAUAACUUUGGGCUGAUCGUAUGGCCUUGCGCCGACGACGUUUCCUUCGAAGGUGUGCCCUAUCAACUGUCGACUGUGAUAUAGACGCUCACAGUGGUUUUGACGGGUAACGGGGAAUCAGGGUUCGAUUCCGGAGAGGGAGCCUUAAAAACGGCUACCACAUCCAAGGAAGGCAGCAGGCACGCAAAUUACCCAAUGAACGAAGUUCGAGGUAGUGACGAAAAAUAACGAUACAGGACUCAUCCGAGGCCCUGUAAUUGGAAUGAGUACACUUUAAAACCGUUCCCGAGGAUCUAUUGGAGGGCAAGUCUGGUGCCAGCAGCCGCGGUAAUUCCAGCUCCAAUAGCGUAUAUUAAAGUUGUUGUGGUUAAAAAGCUCGUAGUUGGAUCUCGGCGGACAGAAGUCGGUCCGAAUGCUUUCGGUACUGGCUUGUUUGUCCGUGUGUUUUGCCAGAGGCAGGCGGGUGCUCUUCGCCGAGUGUCCGUCUGUGCUGGCAGGUUUACUUUGAAAAAAUUAGAGUGCUCAAAGCAAGCUCUCACGCUUGAAUAUUCGUGCAUGGAAUAAUAGAAUAGGAUGUCGUUUCUAUUUUGUUGGUUUUCGGAAAUCGACAUAAUGAUUAAUAGGGACAGUCGGGGGCAUUUGUAUUCAAACGACAGAGGUGAAAUUCUUGGACCGUUUGAAGACAAACUACUGCGAAAGCAUUUGCCAAGAAUGUUUUCAUUAAUCAAGAACGAAAGUUAGAGGUUCGAAGGCGAUUAGAUACCGCCCUAGUUCUAACCAUAAACGAUGCCAGCUAGCGAUCUGCAGGCGUUUUACUUUACGACCUUGCAGGGAGCUUCCGGGAAACCAAAGCUUGUGGGUUCCAGGGGAAGUAUGGUUGCAAAGCUGAAACUUAAAGGAAUUGACGGAAGGGCACCACCAGGAGUGGAGCCUGUGGCUUAAUUUGACUCAACACGGGAAAUCUCACCAGGCCCGGACACGAGAAGGAUUGACAGAUUGAUAGCUCUUUCUUGAUUUCGUGGGUGGUGGUGCAUGGCCGUUCUUAGUUGGUGGAGUGAUUUGUCUGGUUAAUUCCGAUAACGAACGAGACUCUGUCCUGCUAACUAGUGUCUGCUUCUUUUCUGAGCAGAUUAUUCUUCUUAGAGGGACUGGUAGCUCUUAGCUACACGAGAUUGAGCAAUA
This 1383-nucleotide ribosomal RNA is filed under the name Eudiaptomus vulgaris. RNAcentral describes it as "SSU rRNA". It matches the Rfam family "Eukaryotic small subunit ribosomal RNA", at positions 50 to 1455 of the family's 1831-position model. The record is from RNAcentral. Lineage: Eukaryota; Metazoa; Arthropoda; Copepoda; Calanoida; Diaptomidae.